This 443-nucleotide ribosomal RNA is filed under the name Escherichia coli. Its description in RNAcentral is "bacterial SSU rRNA". It matches the Rfam family "Bacterial small subunit ribosomal RNA", at positions 1 to 440 of the family's 1533-position model. Lineage: Bacteria; Pseudomonadati; Pseudomonadota; Gammaproteobacteria; Enterobacterales; Enterobacteriaceae. The record is from RNAcentral. RNAcentral also lists the same sequence under 2 other names.
AAAUUGAAGAGUUUGAUCAUGGCUCAGAUUGAACGCUGGCGGCAGGCCUAACACAUGCAAGUCGAACGGUAACAGGAAGCAGCUUGCUGCUUCGCUGACGAGUGGCGGACGGGUGAGUAAUGUCUGGGAAACUGCCUGAUGGAGGGGGAUAACUACUGGAAACGGUAGCUAAUACCGCAUAAUGUCGCAAGACCAAAGAGGGGGACCUUCGGGCCUCUUGCCAUCGGAUGUGCCCAGAUGGGAUUAGCUUGUUGGUGGGGUAACGGCUCACCAAGGCGACGAUCCCUAGCUGGUCUGAGAGGAUGACCAGCCACACUGGAACUGAGACACGGUCCAGACUCCUACGGGAGGCAGCAGUGGGGAAUAUUGCACAAUGGGCGCAAGCCUGAUGCAGCCAUGCCGCGUGUAUGAAGAAGGCCUUCGGGUUGUAAAGUACUUUCAGC